RNAcentral lists this ribosomal RNA (475 nucleotides) under uncultured bacterium. RNAcentral describes it as "bacterial SSU rRNA". It matches the Rfam family "Bacterial small subunit ribosomal RNA", at positions 34 to 507 of the family's 1533-position model. The record is from RNAcentral.
CGCUAGCGGCAGGCUUAACACAUGCAAGUCGAGGGGUAUAGUUCUUCGGAAUUAGAGACCGGCGCACGGGUGCGUAACGCGUUAUGGCAAUCUACCUUUCACAAAGGGAUAGCCCAGAGAAAUUUGGAUUAAUACCUUAUAGUAAAUACGACUUGGCAUCAAGAUGUAUUUAAAGAUUUAUCGGUGAAAGAUGAGCAUGCGUCCCAUUAGCUAGAUGGUAAGGUAACGGCUUACCAUGGCUACGAUGGGUAGGGGUCCUGAGAGGGAGAUCCCCCACACUGGUACUGAGACACGGACCAGACUCCUACGGGAGGCAGCAGUGAGGAAUAUUGGUCAAUGGACGCAAGUCUGAACCAGCCAUGCCGCGUGCAGGAUGACGGUCCUAUGGAUUGUAAACUGCUUUUGUACGAGAAGAAACAACAUUACGUGUAAUGUCUUGACGGUAUCGUAAGAAUAAGGAUCGGCUAACUACGUG